UACGAAGGGGGCUAGCGUUGCUCGGAAUCACUGGGCGUAAAGCGCACGUAGGCGGAUCUUUAAGUCAGGGGUGAAAUCCCAAGGCUCAACCUUGGAACUGCCUUUGAUACUGGGGAUCUCGAGUCCGGAAGAGGUUGGUGGAACUGCGAGUGUAGAGGUGAAAAUUCGUAGAUAUUCGCAAGAACACCAGUGGCGAAGGCGGCCAACUGGUCCGGUACUGACGCUGAGGUGCGAAAAGCGU
Molecule: ribosomal RNA, 241 nt
Filed under: uncultured bacterium
Lineage: Bacteria
Description: partial 16S ribosomal RNA
Rfam family: Bacterial small subunit ribosomal RNA
Source: RNAcentral